This 255-nucleotide ribosomal RNA is filed under the name uncultured bacterium. Its description in RNAcentral is "partial 16S ribosomal RNA". It matches the Rfam family "Bacterial small subunit ribosomal RNA", at positions 524 to 776 of the family's 1533-position model. The record is from RNAcentral.
UACGUAGGUGGCAAGCGUUGUCCGGAUUUACUGGGCGUAAAGGGAGCGUAGGUGGAUAUUUAAGUGGGAUGUGAAAAUACCCGGGCUUAACCUGGGUGCUGCAUUCCAAACUGGAUAUCUAGAGUGCAGGAGAGGAAAGGAGAAUCCUAGUGUAGCGGUGAAAUGCGUAGAGAGUUAGGAAGAAUACCAGUGGCGAAGGCGCCUUUCUGGACUGGUAACUGACACUGAGGCUCGAAAGCGUGGGGAGCAAACAGG